GGAUCUUCCUGUUGAGCUUUCCAGAUGUUCUCAUCAGUUAUUUGUAGUUGGCGGGAAGUGUCUCGCAUUGACCGGAGAACAACUGCACAGUGAAGGAGAAAUCCUGUAGACGGAGAGCCCAACGGAUCAGCCGAGAGCUGGGUUUCUGGGUUUUGAAAACCCAGACCAAUGAUGAGUGGUCUGUUACUACGGUGAAAUGUCGUCCUUCUAGGGUCCGACUGGCAAAAGCAAGGACUUGUUCUGAGCCCAAUCCAGUCUGUUGAGCCAGUACAGCUCCCAAUCUCACAUCGCUGGCAUCUGUGUAAACGAUGAAUGGUAAUUUGAAGUCUGGAUGUCCGAGAAUGGGUGGAGAAACCAGAUGUUGUUUUAAUGUAUCAAAUGAUCUUUGACAAGCCGUUGUCCACAGAAAUUUGGCUCCUUUUCUCUUC
This is a long non-coding RNA of Austrofundulus limnaeus, 428 nucleotides long. RefSeq lists it as uncharacterized. The transcript is spliced from 3 exons. Lineage: Eukaryota; Metazoa; Chordata; Actinopteri; Cyprinodontiformes; Rivulidae. The record is from RefSeq and is a predicted model, not a curated record.